RNAcentral lists this ribosomal RNA (471 nucleotides) under uncultured bacterium. RNAcentral describes it as "bacterial SSU rRNA". It matches the Rfam family "Bacterial small subunit ribosomal RNA", at positions 355 to 825 of the family's 1533-position model. The record is from RNAcentral.
UGGGGAAUAUUGGACAAUGGGCGCAAGCCUGAUCCAGCAAUACCGCGUGUGUGAAGAAGGCCUGAGGGUUGUAAAGCACUUUCAAUGGGGAGGAAAAAUGCAGUCUUAAUACGGCUGCCCUUGGCAUUACCCAUACAAGAAGCACCGGCUAACUCCGUGCCAGCAGCCGCGGUAAUACGGAGGGUGCGAGCGUUAAUCGGAAUUACUGGGCGUAAAGCGUGCGUAGGCGGCCUGUUAAGUCAGAUGUGAAAGCCCUGGGCUCAACCUGGGAACGGCAUUUGAAACUGGCAGGCUAGAGUUAGGUAGAGGGGAGUGGAAUUUCAGGUGUAGCGGUGAAAUGCGUAGAUAUCUGAAGGAACACCAAAGGCGAAGGCAGCGCACUGGCCAAAAUCUGACGCUCACACACGAAAGCUAGGGUAGCGAAGAGGAUUAGAUACCCAAGUAGUCCCUGAGCGGGCUGGCAAGGCGCAU